RNAcentral lists this ribosomal RNA (1387 nucleotides) under uncultured bacterium. RNAcentral's name for it is "bacterial SSU rRNA". It matches the Rfam family "Bacterial small subunit ribosomal RNA", at positions 24 to 1379 of the family's 1533-position model. The record is from RNAcentral.
UCAAGACGAACGCCUGGCGGCGUGCUUAACACAUUGCAAGUUCAAACGGAAAGGGCUCUCACCUGGCGGGGGCGCUCCGAGCGGCGAAACGGGUCGAGUAACACGUGGGUGAUUCUGCCCCGUACUUUCGGGAUAAGCUUCGGGAAAACUGGGUCUAAUACCGGAUAGGACCAUGGUUUAGUGUCUCAUGGUGGAAAAGAUUAUUGUUUUGGUGCAGGAUGAGCUCGCGGCCUAUCAGCUUGUUGGUGGGGUAAUGGCCUACCAAGGCGUCGACGGGUAGCCGGCCUGAGAGGGUGGACGGCCACAUUGGGACUGAGAUACGGCCCAGACUCCUACGGGAGGCAGCAGUGGGGAAAUAUUGCACAAUGGGCGCAAGCCUGAUGCAGCGACCCCGCGUGGGGGAUGUACGGCCUUCGGGUUUGUAAACUCCUUUCGUUAGGGACGAAACCGCACCUUUUUUUGGGUGUGGUGACGGUACCUUUGUUAAGAAGCACCGGCUAACUACGUGCCAGCAGCCGCGGUAAUACGUAGGGUGCGAGCGUUGUCCGGAAUUACUGGGCGUAAAGAGCUCGUAGGUGGUUUGUUGCGUCGUCUGUGAAAUUCCGGGGCUUAACUUCGGGGUGGCAGGCGAUACGGGCAUAACUAGAGUGCUGUAGGGGAGACUGGAAUUCCUGGUGUAGCGGUGGAAUGCGCAGAUAUCAGGAGGAACACCGAUGGCGAAGGCAGGUCUCUGGGCAGUAACUGACGCUGAGGAGCGAAAGCAUGGGGAGCGAACAGGAUUAGAUACCCUGGUAGUCCAUGCUGUAAACGGUGGGCGUUAGGUGUGGGGACCGGUUUGGUUUCUGUGCCGUAGCUAACGCAUUAAGCGCCCCGCCUGGGGAGUACGGCCGCAAGGCUAAAACUCAAAGGAAUUGACGGGGGCCCGCACAAGCGGCGGAGCAUGUGGAUUAAUUCGAUGCAACGCGAAGAACCUUACCUGGGUUUGACAUGCACCAGACGGUUGUAGAGAUACGUACCUCCCUUUGUGGUUGGUGUGCAGGUGGUGCAUGGUCGUCGUCAGCUCGUGUCGUGAGAUGUUGGGUUAAGUCCCGCAACGAGCGCAACCCUUGUCUUAUGUUGCCAGCACGUUUGGGUGGGGACUCAUGAGAGACUGCCGGGGUUAACUCGGAGGAAGGUGGGGAUGAACGUCGAAUCAUCGUGCCCUUUAUGCCCGGGGCUCUACGCUUGCUACGAUGGUGAGGACAACGCGCGGCGAACUCUGUGAGGGUGAAGCGAACGCUGAAAGGCUAUUCUCGGUUCGGAUUGGGGUCUCGACCGCGAACCCCGUAAAGUCGAAGCGCGUAGGAUCGCGGUCUCGGCGAAUGCUCCGGUAAAGACGCCCUCGGGC